RNAcentral lists this ribosomal RNA (292 nucleotides) under Vannella robusta. RNAcentral describes it as "Vannella sp. CB-2014 partial Bacterial large subunit ribosomal RNA". It matches the Rfam family "Bacterial large subunit ribosomal RNA", at positions 288 to 583 of the family's 2925-position model. The record is from RNAcentral. Lineage: Eukaryota; Discosea; Flabellinia; Vannellidae.
GAAAUCGGAGUAGCCCUCGCGUUUUAGCAGUUUGUAUAUCAGAACGGAAUGGAAAGUCCGGCCACAGCGGGUGAUAGCCCCGUAUGAGAAAUGCAGAUUGUGGAACUAGGCGCGAAUAGAGUAGGGCGGGACACGUGAAAUCCUGUCUGAAUAUGGGGGGACCAUCCUCCAAGGCUAAAUACUCCUGACUGACCGAUAGUGAACCAGUACCGUGAGGGAAAGGCGAAAAGAACCCCUGUGAGGGGAGUGAAAUAGAACCUGAAACCGUGUACGUACAAGCAGUAGGAGCCCA